AUUGAACGCUAGCGGGAUGCUUUACACAUGCAAGUCGAACGGCAGCGCGGACUUCGGUCUGGCGGCGAGUGGCGAACGGGUGAGUAAUGUAUCGGAACGUGCCCAGUAGCGGGGGAUAACUACGCGAAAGCGUAGCUAAUACCGCAUACGCCCUACGGGGGAAAGCAGGUGAUCGUAAGACCUUGCACUAUUGGAGCGGCCGAUAUCGGAUUAGCUAGUUGGUGAGGUAACGGCUCACCAAGGCGACGAUCCGUAGCUGGUUUGAGAGGACGACCAGCCACACUGGGACUGAGACACGGCCCAGACUCCUACGGGAGGCAGCAGUGGGGAAUUUUGGACAAUGGGGGCAACCCUGAUACAGCCAUCCCGCGUGUGCGAUGAAGGCCUUCGGGUUGUAAAGCACUUUUGGCAGGAAAGAAACGUAGCGGGCUAAUACCCCGUGGAACUGACGGUACCUGCAGAAUAAGCACCGGCUAACUACGUG
Molecule: ribosomal RNA, 484 nt
Filed under: uncultured bacterium
Lineage: Bacteria
Description: partial 16S ribosomal RNA
Rfam family: Bacterial small subunit ribosomal RNA
Source: RNAcentral